UCCGUAGGCGGGCAAUUAAGUCAGAGGUGAAAUCCCACAGCUCAACUGUGGAACUGCCUUUGAUACUGGUUGUCUUGAGUUACAGUGAAGUAGAUAGAAUAUGUAGUGUAGCGGUGAAAUGCAUAGAUAUUACAUAGAAUACCGAUUGCGAAGGCAGUCUACUAACUGUAUACUGACGCUAAUGGACGAAAGCGUGGGGAGCGAACAGGAUUAGAUACCCUGGUAGGUCC
This 230-nucleotide ribosomal RNA is filed under the name uncultured bacterium. Its description in RNAcentral is "partial 16S ribosomal RNA". It matches the Rfam family "Bacterial small subunit ribosomal RNA", at positions 568 to 796 of the family's 1533-position model. The record is from RNAcentral.